UGCGGUUAAUCGGACUCAACGCCGGGAAACUCACCAGUUAAGACAGCUGAAUGAUAGUCGGGCUGAAGACUCUACUUGAUAGCUGAGAGGAGGUGCAUGGCCGUCGUCAGUUCGUACUGUGAAGCAUCCUGUUAAGUCAGGCAACGAGCGAGACCCACGCCCACAGUUGCCAGCGUACUCUCCGGAGUGACGGGUACACUGUGGGGACCGCCGCUGCUAAAGCGGAGGAAGGAAUGGGCAACGGUAGGUCAGUAUGCCCCGAAUAUCCCGGGCUACACGCGAGCUACAAUGGUUGGUACAAUGGGUAUCUACCCCGAAAGGGGACGGGAAUCUCCUAAAACCAAUCUUAGUUCGGAUUGAGGGCUGCAACUCGCCCUCAUGAAGCUGGAAUCCGUAGUAAUCGCGUUUCAACAGAACGCGGUGAAUACGUCCCUGCUCCUU
This 441-nucleotide ribosomal RNA is filed under the name uncultured Methanolinea sp. RNAcentral describes it as "bacterial SSU rRNA". It matches the Rfam family "Archaeal small subunit ribosomal RNA", at positions 896 to 1338 of the family's 1478-position model. Lineage: Archaea; Methanobacteriati; Methanobacteriota; Methanomicrobia; Methanomicrobiales; Methanoregulaceae. The record is from RNAcentral.